UACGUAGGGUGCAAGCGUUAAUCGGAAUUACUGGGCGUAAAGCGUGCGCAGGCGGUUUCUUAAGUCAGGUGUGAAAGCCCCGGGCUUAACCUGGGAACUGCGUUUGAAACUGGGAGACUUGAGUGUGGCAGAGGGGGGUGGAAUUCCACGUGUAGCAGUGAAAUGCGUAGAGAUGCGGAGGAACACCGAUGGCGAAGGCAGCCCCCUGGGCUAACACUGACGCUCAGGCACGAAAGCGUGGGGAGCAAACAGG
Molecule: ribosomal RNA, 253 nt
Filed under: uncultured bacterium
Lineage: Bacteria
Description: partial 16S ribosomal RNA
Rfam family: Bacterial small subunit ribosomal RNA
Source: RNAcentral